Molecule: long non-coding RNA, 731 nt
Filed under: Mytilus galloprovincialis (Mediterranean mussel)
Lineage: Eukaryota; Metazoa; Mollusca; Bivalvia; Mytilida; Mytilidae
Source: RNAcentral
UGGCCUGAAUCACAUAUUUCGUAAAUACAAAUAUUGGAAACCAUCACAAAUAUAUAUGACUUAAAAAAAAAGAAGAGAUAAACAUGAAUUUGAAGAAUGUCACUUCAGACUAACAUAUGGCAUCAGAUACAACAGUGAGCUAAGAUGAGGUGAGUAAGCCCCACUCACUGAUAUAUAAGAAGGAUCUAUUGAAAACAUCAUUAGUGACAUGUUUGCAAAUGGAUUAGGGAAUCGUCAACUUCCAAUUAUAAAAUUGAUUUAGAAAAAAAUACUGCUCAUUUCUAAUUUUAAAAGUACAUGCAUAUGCUAUGCAUUCAGACAUAUUCAACAAUUUUUCCAAUUGAAGGCAGGAAUUAAAACAAGCCUUUAAUACAUAUUUCAUGAUAAUUAACAUUCAAGUCUAGUGUCAAUGAUUAACAGUUUUCUCCUCAGGUCCUUUUAGCAUCAUGGUAAUGUAAUGCUACAUGUAUAUUUCUUGUAGAAUAAUUAAUAGAUGGUAUUUAAAAUGUUUCCGUUUACCAGGAUGCUAAAUGAAAUAUCUGGAGAACACAGAAUGAGAUUAACAUACAUGUAAUGCGAUUAAAUUUCCGACUUCAGAUAUUAAUUCAAUGCUUUUGACUUUGUUGCUCGAGUCUCCAUACUUCUCUGAUGUCAUGAAACUAUUUCGUGUCCAUUCAGUUAGAGCUAAUACUGUAUUUGUUCAUCAACAAAGUCAGAAUACCCAAUACAUG